GGAGGGAUGGCCGAGCGGUUGAAGGCGGCGGUCUUGAAAACCGUUGGGCGCGCAAGCGUCUCGGGGGUUCGAAUCCCCCUCCCUCCGCCA
Molecule: transfer RNA, 90 nt
Filed under: Armatimonadia bacterium
Lineage: Bacteria; Bacillati; Armatimonadota; Armatimonadia
Description: tRNA-Ser
Rfam family: tRNA
About the family: Transfer RNA (tRNA) molecules are approximately 80 nucleotides in length. Their secondary structure includes four short double-helical elements and three loops (D, anti-codon, and T loops).
Source: RNAcentral